UCACAGCCAAUUUUGAUGAGA
This 21-nucleotide microRNA is filed under the name Schmidtea mediterranea. RNAcentral's name for it is "Sme-Mir-2-o129_3p (mature (guide))". Lineage: Eukaryota; Metazoa; Platyhelminthes; Tricladida; Dugesiidae. The record is from RNAcentral.